AUUGAAUAGAUUAGGAUUGGUGCACAAUGAAAAUUGUGCUUAAUAGGGAAGUACGGUUUAAAUCCGUCACGGUACCCGCCACUGUAAGGGGAGUUCAUUGCAGAUGUCACUGAAGGAAUUUGGGAAGACGCAAUAGAAUGAUGAACCUAAGUCAGGAGACCUGCCUUUACCUAAUAGCUUCA
RNAcentral lists this non-coding RNA (182 nucleotides) under Bacillus sp. (in: firmicutes). Lineage: Bacteria; Bacillati; Bacillota; Bacilli; Caryophanales; Bacillaceae. The record is from RNAcentral.